CCUACGGGAGGCAGCAGUGAGGAAUAUUGGUCAAUGGACGAGAGUCUGAACCAGCCAAGUAGCGUGAAGGAUGACUGCCCUAUGGGUUGUAAACUUCUUUUAUAUGGGAAUAAAAUGUUCCACGUGUGGGAUUUUGUAUGUACUAUAUGAAUAAGGAUCGGCUAACUCCGUGCCAGCAGCCGCGGUAAUACGGAGGAUCCGAGCGUUAUCCGGAUUUAUUGGGUUUAAAGGGAGCGUAGGUGGAUUGUUAAGUCAGUUGUGAAAGUUUGCGGCUCAACCGUAAAAUUGCAGUUGAUACUGGCAGUCUUGAGUACAGUAGAGGUAGGCGGAAUUCGUGGUGUAGCGGUGAAAUGCUUAGAUAUCACGAAGAACUCCGAUUGCGAAGGCAGUUCACUAGACUGCAACUGACACUGAGGCUCGAAAGUGUGGGUAUCAAACAGGAUUAGAUACCCCAGUAGUC
RNAcentral lists this ribosomal RNA (460 nucleotides) under uncultured bacterium. Its description in RNAcentral is "partial 16S ribosomal RNA". It matches the Rfam family "Bacterial small subunit ribosomal RNA", at positions 338 to 795 of the family's 1533-position model. The record is from RNAcentral.